Molecule: RNA transcript, 4169 nt
Organism: Puntigrus tetrazona (Sumatra barb)
Lineage: Eukaryota; Metazoa; Chordata; Actinopteri; Cypriniformes; Cyprinidae
Gene: chrna4b
Gene name: cholinergic receptor, nicotinic, alpha 4b
Exons: 7
Source: RefSeq, a predicted model, not a curated record
UGGAGGGGCCGGAGAGAAGAGAUACUGAGAGUGAAACAGCAAAACAGAGAGAGAGAGAGAAGGUAGAAGAGAUAGGGGGAGGGUAAAGAGUCUAAUGACGGCUAGAGAGGCAUUCUGAGGAACCCCUCACUUUUACAAGAGGUUUGGACACUGAAUGACUUUUGGUAGCUGUUUUCAACUUUCACUUUUGGAGUCUUUUUCCAGUUAAAGGAUAGAUGAUAUAGGACUCUUUUCAGGGAUUUUUAUUUAUUUAUUUUUUUAUGGAAUUUUGACUUUUAUUAAAGCAACUGGAAAUAGUUUUCCGUUCCAGUGGCAAGAUUCUUACAGAGUGGGCUAUCAUCUGGAGGUGGACAAGAUGAGAUCAGCGUGGAGUGUCUUCUUUCUUCUUUCUGUCUGUCUGCAGCUGGCAUAUGUGUUUUCAAGCACUCCAGCUCGUGCCCAUGCGGAAGAAAGACUCCUCCAAUCUUUGUUUAGCAAUUACAACAAGCUCUCUCGUCCAGUAGCAAACAUCUCAGAUGUGGUUCUGGUCCACUUUGGCCUGUCCAUUGCUCAGCUUAUUGAUGUGGAUGAGAAGAAUCAGAUGAUGACCACAAACGUCUGGGUGAAGCAGGAGUGGAACGAUUACAAGCUGCGCUGGAACCCAGAGGAGUAUGAGAAUGUCACCUCCAUCAGGAUCCCCUCCGAGAUCAUCUGGAGACCAGAUAUCGUGCUCUAUAACAAUGCAGACGGAGACUUUGCGGUGACUCACUUGACUAAAGCCCAGGUGUUUUACAACGGCAGGAUCAAAUGGAAACCUCCUGCCAUUUAUAAAAGCUCCUGCAGCAUCGACGUCACCUUCUUUCCCUUCGACCAGCAAAACUGCAAGAUGAAAUUUGGCUCUUGGACGUACGAUCAGGCCAAGAUCGACCUGGUCAGCAUGGCCAGUGACGUCGACCAGAUGGACUACUGGGAAAGUGGGGAGUGGGUUAUAGUAAACGCCGUUGGGACUUACAACAUCAAGAAGUACGAGUGCUGUACAGAAAUCUACCCAGACAUCACCUACUCCUUCAUCAUCAGACGUCUGCCUCUGUUCUACACCAUCAAUCUAAUCAUCCCCUGCCUGCUUAUCUCCUGCCUGACAGUGCUAGUCUUCUACCUUCCUUCAGAGUGUGCGGAAAAAAUCACGCUGUGCAUCUCCGUCCUCCUCUCUCUGACCGUUUUCCUACUGCUAAUCACAGAAAUUAUACCCUCGACCUCGCUAGUCAUCCCGCUCAUUGGCGAGUACCUCCUGUUCACCAUGAUCUUCGUCACUCUCUCCAUCAUCAUCACUGUGUUUGUGCUGAACGUCCACCACCGUUCGUCGCGCACGCAUAGCAUGCCACAUUGGGUCCGCCAGCUGUUUCUACACCUGGUGCCUCGUUACCUGUUCAUGAAGCGUCCGCCUGCCUCGGGUAAGAGGAACUGUGGGAAACUGAUCGAGAUGAUGCACAAGCCAAUGGCGUCACAGUCCAUGUUUCUGCGGAACAACUUUCUGGAUAUUUCUCCGCAAAGUCCGCUCCCCCAUUUGGACGUGCCCUCAGUUGCCCAGUUGGAUCAAAUUCAGCAGGACUCUUCUCCCAAACCCAUGUUUUUCUGCAGCUCUCCCAGCAGUCAGUAUUCUAUCCUGCAAGAGGAAACUUCGCAAACACCUCAAACUCCGGCCCUCGGUUAUACGUGUGCAUACACAAACAGCAUCUUUGCUUCAAGCACAGCUUCAUUUCCAAACACUAUCCUGGGUACUCUGCUGCACACCAUCCCACAGGAAGGAACUGAGUGUACAGACUGUGAUAUCCAAGGCCGGAGUGCUGAGAGUGUCUUCAUGGAAGCCAAAGAGAGCGUUCUGGGAGCAGGGAGUUGUCAACACCGUCUUACAUCUGAGGGGACGAGUCUGCAGAAACUUGAUCACGAGGAAGCCGGGAGGUGUACCAGACAUACCUUGCCCAAUGCUCAGAUCUUCAAUUCUAGCGGUGACAGUGCUACUGAUCUGAACACAGCGCAGCCGGGAAGCAAUCUGUCGCAGUCCCUGCUCAAAGCCCUGGAAGGAGUUCAGUACAUCGCUGACCAUCUGAGAGCAGAGGAUUCAGACUUUUCCGUGAGGGAAGACUGGAAAUAUGUUGCCAUGGUGAUUGAUAGAAUAUUCCUCUGGAUGUUUGUGCUGGUGUGCAUUCUGGGGACCGUCGGACUCUUCCUCCCACCGUGGCUGGCUGGAAUGAUCUAGAUCCUCGUGUGGAGUCUCUGAUUGGCUCUGUGUUGGUGGGGAAUGGCCUUGUCAAUCACACUUGACUUCUGUGACCUCAUUAAACAUCUGCUGUCACGGAAAUUAAGUGAUGUUUAAUGUCAGCGGUUCCCGGUGUAACAGGAAGUUAGUAGUGGGAUUCUGUGCACUUAAAGGACCGUUUUGGGUUAAAUGCACAUUUAUGAAAAAAAAAACAAUUAAAUAAAAUGAAACCAAUGUGAACACUUACUCUUAACAUCAACGAUUCUUUAUUCGGUGGAAAAUAUACAGGAAUUGUAACGAAGAUUGCUCGUUUCUAUCCAAAUACAACGAAGCUUUGAGAGUUAAAAAUUUACUCCACCCCAAAAUGAAAAGUUUGUCAUUAAUCACUCAUGUCGUUCCAAGUAUUUUGGAUGACAACCGGGUGGUUUGUGACUGUCCCAUUGACUGCCAAGUAAUAAACAUUGUCAAGUACCAGAAAAAUAUGAAAGACAUGGUCAGAAUAGUCCAUCUUUUAUCAGUGGUUCAACCGUUACAUUAUCAAGGUACGAGAGUACUUUUUGUACAGAAAGAAAACAACAGUGAAAAAGUUUUUUUUAAUUUAUUUUCAUACAAAAAGUAUUUGUGUAGUUUUAACUGUUUUUUUAUGCACAAUAUUUUAAAUUGAAGACGAACAAAGCUUUUACGAAUUUUGAACAGAGGGUAAGUGAUUAUUGACAAAAUUUUCAUUUUGGAGUGGAGUAACCCUAUAUGGUGGAGUAACCAAAUAGCUAGUUCCAAUUUACAAUUUUUUCACUAAUUGUGUAAAACUAAAAGUGUCUGAGGUCAUCAGUCUGUGUGCAGCAACUUGCCCUAUUUAACCUGGGACCUUCCUUUAAGGACAACUGGGUGAGUUGAUUCAGUCUGUCACUAUACACAUAUAUAAAACACAGACAUAAACUAAGAAUACAUCUAAUAUACAUCUAAGAAUACACAUUAAUAUUUUAACACUGAGAAUUAUUCAACCUUCGCUAGGAAUCAGACCAGUCAUACAACUUGAACUGUGUAUUGAUUGUUUUCCACGGUUGAAGCAGCAUAACUUCUGAUGUUCAUUCGUGUUUAUUCUCUGCAGUUAAUAUAAACUGAUGAUUGGUUCAUGUGCCGCUUGAACUGAGGAGAUAGAGCAAUCUGAGCCAGAUGAAAGUAAAUACUACGUCUGCACUUGGAUGGGUUACCAUGCUUAGCCACACUUCAGUUCAAACAAUAAAAACCAUUUUGUAGCUUUUUAAUGUGUCUUGACAGAUCGCUGUAACACCUCAGUUCAAGCGGCAUGUGAACUGACCUUCUUUUAGCAUUUACUUUGUGCAUAAAAUAAACAUGAAUGAACAUCAGAAGGUAUUUUAUUUCAACUGUGGAAAGAUGUCAACCAUUUUUCGACAUCUACUCUCCCGUCUGGUUUAUUUUCCUGUUGAAAAGCAUGUUUUGAACAUUGUUGAAGCAUAUUUAGAGCAGGAGCUAACCAGCUUAGGAGCAGCUGCCAUGAUUCAAAUCAUACCUAACCAGCUAAUGCUGUUUUUUUUAGCAGGUUUGUCAGAUAAAAUGGUGAAUUCAGCAUUAUGAUUGGUCAGAUCCUCUUUCAGUCCAGCUUCCUGCGAAAGGCCAAUUGAGAAUGACUUGCAGGAGAUUUUAGCUGUGAAAGGUGGUGGAUGAGUUGACCUACAAGAGAAGAGGUCACAGGUUGAGUUAAAUCAGUGCCUCGGGGCAGAUGGAAAGCUCAGGCUGUCAGAACGAACCAAUGCUGUCGUCCUCUUCAAGAGCAUCAUGCACCUGCAGCACCGAUAUUGGAUUUCGCCAUCCACACCAUAACGAAAGCUGUCAAAUAACCGAGUUACGCUGUCACUUUAAAACAUGUACUAACUGUUAUUCCUUUAUCUAUUGGGUAUGUCUUUGUAAUAAA